This 324-nucleotide long non-coding RNA is filed under the name Leptinotarsa decemlineata (Colorado potato beetle). RNAcentral describes it as "uncharacterized LOC111507756, transcript variant X3". The record is from RNAcentral. Lineage: Eukaryota; Metazoa; Arthropoda; Insecta; Coleoptera; Chrysomelidae.
GAGAUAACGGAGUGCGGCCUCUUGACGAUCCUGUAGGCUUCCGCUGCGGGGCCGGCAAUAGAGUUGCGGAACCGAGGGACGGCUGUCAACAAAACUGAUUGAUCAUAAUAUGGUUUUAUCACAAAAUCAUUUAAGGUAUAUGAUGAUCAGACUGCAUAUUUUUAAGCAAGAAAAGAAAAAAGCUAGAUCGUGUAGAGCAAAUUUAAUUACACACUAUUGCUAUGUUGGUAACGAUAACAGAGUCCAUUGCGAGCAAAUCGUUGCCGUGACGCAACUGGAACCGGACCAUUUCCUCUGCUUGCUUCAGAUCUUCAACUUCUUGGA